RNAcentral lists this ribosomal RNA (669 nucleotides) under Photinus pyralis (common eastern firefly). Its description in RNAcentral is "partial 28S ribosomal RNA". The record is from RNAcentral. Lineage: Eukaryota; Metazoa; Arthropoda; Insecta; Coleoptera; Lampyridae.
AUUCAAGAGUACGUGAAACCGUUCGGGGGUAAACCUGAGAAACCCGAAAGAUCGAAAGCCGAGAUACAGCGUCCGCGCCGCCGGUGCAGCGGCGACGGCGUGCACUUCUCGGCCGGUAGGACGUCGCGACCCGUUGGGAGUCGCCGACGCGUAAUGGGGUACGUUCGGGAGGCUCGAGGCGGCGCGGCGGGACUUGUUCCCGUCGUCUUUGCGGCCCCUCGAACCCGACGCGUCCUCGCCUAGCGUUCGGCACGCCCGACGCGACAUUCAAAAACAGAACGAUGCGUUCGUUCGGCGGUUGCGCUUUUGCGGCGCGCCCGGCUUCGUCGUCGCGCUCACGCGCCUCGGCGAAUGUUCUCGGGCGUGCGCGCCUAAUCGGCGCGCACACCGACGUCCGAUCGUCAGCGACGCUUUUGCUUUGGGCGUUUUCAGGACCCGUCUUGAAACACGGACCAAGGAGUCCAACGUGCGCGCGAGUCAAUGGGAGCAAACAGAUAAACCCAAAGGCGAAGCGAAAGCGAAGGUCGGCCGGGGGCGGGGGGCAACUCUCGCAUCCCGUCGGCCGUUGGGAGGAUGGGUCGCGCUCGUCGCGAUCCCGCACUCCCGGGGCGUCUCCGUCAGGCAUCGUCGUCGACGUUUGCGCGUCUUCGUUCGGUGCCGGAGGCGCAC